GAUGAACGCUGGCGGCGUGCCUAAUACAUGCAAGUCGAGCGAACAGACGAGGAGCUUGCUCCUCUGACGUUAGCGGCGGACGGGUGAGUAACACGUGGAUAACCUACCUAUAAGACUGGGAUAACUUCGGGAAACCGGAGCUAAUACCGGAUAAUAUAUUGAACCGCAUGGUUCAAUAGUGAAAGACGGUUUUGCUGUCACUUAUAGAUGGAUCCGCGCCGCAUUAGCUAGUUGGUAAGGUAACGGCUUACCAAGGCGACGAUGCGUAGCCGACCUGAGAGGGUGAUCGGCCACACUGGAACUGAGACACGGUCCAGACUCCUACGGGAGGCAGCAGUAGGGAAUCUUCCGCAAAGGGCGAAAGCCUGACGGAGCAACGCCGCGUGAGUGAUGAAGGUCUUCGGAUCGUAAAACUCUGUUAUUAGGGAAGAACAAAUGUGUACGUAACUAUGCACGUCUUGACGGUACCUAAUCAGAAAGCCACGGCUAACUACGCG
RNAcentral lists this ribosomal RNA (497 nucleotides) under uncultured bacterium. RNAcentral's name for it is "partial 16S ribosomal RNA". It matches the Rfam family "Bacterial small subunit ribosomal RNA", at positions 28 to 507 of the family's 1533-position model. The record is from RNAcentral.